CUCACCUCGGAGCAAAGUGUAAUGUGCAUGGAUCUCUACAUCUGGAACUUCCAUAGAGUCAGACCUUUCUGCAUACUGUAUCACCUUGACUUUCAGCUUCUUGGAGAUUCUAAUGAAAUUUAGGAAGAAGAAGAAAGAAAAAAUGAAUGGAAAGAAGAAGACAUGAAGAAAUAGUACUUGGAAUUUUA
Molecule: long non-coding RNA, 188 nt
Filed under: Chinchilla lanigera (long-tailed chinchilla)
Lineage: Eukaryota; Metazoa; Chordata; Mammalia; Rodentia; Chinchillidae
Description: lncRNA (ENSCLAG00000024509.1)
Source: RNAcentral